UUAUAAAAAAGAGCGUAAGGACCUCCGAAUCGGAGGUUUACGAGGAGAGGGCCCUCCGAAUCGGAGGGAAUCGGAAACACCAAUCUAUGGUGUAUAUCUACGGAAACCCUCAAGUUGAACUGUCAACUUAAAUAUGUUUUUUAAACUCCUUCGGUAACGAAGGAAUCAAAGAAAACAUGGUACAGACUU
RNAcentral lists this non-coding RNA (189 nucleotides) under Candidatus Roizmaniibacteriota. RNAcentral describes it as "Candidatus Roizmanbacteria GlcN6P sequence". It matches the Rfam family "glmS glucosamine-6-phosphate activated ribozyme aptamer". Rfam says of the family: This entry contains a glucosamine-6-phosphate activated ribozyme that is found in the mRNA for GlmS. GlmS is an enzyme that uses fructose-6-phosphate and glutamine to generate glucosamine-6-phosphate. The record is from RNAcentral.